Molecule: ribosomal RNA, 378 nt
Filed under: uncultured eukaryote
Lineage: Eukaryota
Description: partial 18S ribosomal RNA
Rfam family: Eukaryotic small subunit ribosomal RNA
Source: RNAcentral
CAAUAGCGUAUAUUUAAGUUGUUGCAGUUAAGAAGCUCGUAGUUGGAUUUCGGGUGGGACGCAGCGGUCUCGCAUUGCGUUUGUACUGCUGCAGCCCUCCUUCUUGCCGGGGGCGGCCUCUCGGACUUCACUGUCUGGGGGUCAGAAUCGGCGAUGUUACUUUGAGUAAAUUAGAGUGUUCAAAGCAAGCUUACGCUCUGAAUAUAAUAGCAUGGGAUAACACGACAGGACUCUGGCCUAUCGUGUUGGUCUAUAGGACCAGAGUAAUGAUUAAGAGGGACAGUCGGGGGCAUUCGUAUUCCGUUGUCAGAGGUGAAAUUCUUGGAUUUACGGAAGACGAACAUCUGCGAAAGCAUUUGCCAAGGAUGUUUNCAUUGA